CGCGCACAGCGGAUCAUUCACGAAGUAAUCACGUGCGUCUUGCGUCUAGUAUGAUGUUCUCCUCGUUGUAACUCAUAGUUUCCGCGUUUCACGCUUUCGACGCGAUCCUUCCCUUCCCAGGAUCGCGCCCAAGUGCGAACUUUUCAAAAUUCAACGAACCUUUGUGCCUUGUUUCUCAUCCUUCGAUCACCUCGGCUCUUUCUUUUUACUCUUUCCUUCUUCCUUUUGCCAAACGUGAUUUCGCGUUUUCAACGGGCCUGGAAUCUUGAUUUACCAGAUAUACUUCUUCAAUUUCGUAGCUUUUUUACUUUUCUUUUUUCAGCCUACAUUUCGUGCCGUGCAUCGGAGCCCAGCCCAUUGGUGCAGUACAAAUACAGGUGUUACUCGCAAGAAACAGCUCGUGCAUCUUUUAAUACUCAUAAAACUGCGUCUACCAUUGUGACUCGGAGGAAGUGGUCAGACAUAAAGAACACUGUCGGACAGUCGAACACACGUGUAAGAACACGGUGUAAAGUGUGAGGAUUGGACGUGACAUGUUACCAUAGGAACGACGAGUUUAAGAUCUAGAAAGUGAAAAUUAAUAUAAAGAUGUUACGGUAAAUGAGGAAAGUGCAAGGCAAUGUUUUCAAAACAAAAGAGAGGCGCAUUGCUUGUGAGAACGUAUUUUAAUCCUGGUGAAUACCUCUCGCUCGGUGCACGCCUCAGGGUGCGUCUGCAUCGUUGUUCGCGAAUACUUUCCCACCGUGGAGUUUGGCUGGAACAACGUCUACCAAUACGUACAUGUAUAUAUAUAUAUGUGUGUGUAUAUAUAUAUACAUUUUUCUUUUUCUUUUUGUAAAUAUGUUGUACUUUUAUAUAGAGUGCGAGUUUAUGACUUACACUUCGUUUCAGGUUAUGCUCUUGUUAUUAAGUUUUUUGAUUAAUAAAGAUCUAUCUGGCUGGUUGUUAUGAAAACAAACCGUAGUAGAGUUAAUGUCUGUCUUCAUGGAUGUCUUCAUGGAAGAAGUGCCAGAAAGUAAUCGCGUUCAUCGACGCUGUACACCAUAAACACGUAAUAACGUGGAGCCGUCGUCAUGGGUGUCCCACGUAUUAUGCAAGAGAUGGGCCGGUAGAAAAUUUUUCAGGCCGUUGAACAGAGUGUACGGUCCUCUGUAGCAUACCUUCGCCCACGAUCAAGUUCGAACUUACUCGAUUUCUCUUUAAGACCAGAAUAUCCUGUACAUGGUACAUCAAGAUUAGGACGCAUUAGUAUCAACGUAAUCAUCCCUAAAAAUUGUUGAGCCACUAAAAAUGCAAUAGCUCGAGGAAAAUAUUUACAAAUUGUCCCACCUUCUCGUGAAGGAUACCUCAAGCUACGAUUCAUAGGCAGUUGCGAACAAUUUAAUACCACUGUCACUCAGAGCUAACACAUUAUAUUAUGUUGGAUUUGAUUGAAGUGAUGGCACGGUUUCACCUAUAAUUUCGUGCAAUUUUAACGAGAAUCGCUUCAAAUUUGCAAUUUCAUUUCUCACAAAUAAUUUAAUAUGUGUAAAAUUACUUUUAAUAUUGACAAAAAGGACGCUAAUAAUUUCUUGAACAUAACCAUGACAGGGGGCGAGAUUGUCUUGAGACGAGUUUAGCGCAAAUUCCAGAUGAAGAAUAUAAGAAGAAACAACCAUAAACGCGACUCUUGAAGAACCCACUCGUCGAAGAAAUAUUAUACUAAACGAGUCAUUGAAACACAGAGUCCAUAAUGAUUCUUCGAAUUCCCCACAUUGUUUUGACUUAAUUCAGUGUGAAUUGGCCUUAACCAGGACUCGUUGUGUUCUCAAAGAGCGAAAUUAAGAAAGAGAAGGAGGCGCAGCAAGAGAAACAAAUGAACCGGGAGGAGAGUGAUGAGGAGAAGUACGAAGGAAUCGAAGAGGUGGCCGGGGACACGGAAGAGAAGAGAAGACGCGAGAAAGACGAAGAAACGAGAGGAAGGGAUCCGGAAUAUAAGUCUCUGCAAGGCCUCGCGGUUUCGCCGUUGCCUUCUCAGAACCGAUCGACUCUCGAAACGCGAGGGAACAACAAAAACCAGAUCGCUUAAAGUUGAUACCCAUUUCUUUACACCCCGAAUUUAAAUGCAAUAAAGUCGAUCCAAAUCAUUUCGGUUCCUUCGCCACUUUAUCGAUAAAUAAAGCUGUUUGUUAGGCAAUCAAACCGAACCUCAUUAAUAAUCAAUAUUGCUUAAUCUAUACU
Bombus pyrosoma is the source of this 2220-nucleotide long non-coding RNA. RefSeq lists it as uncharacterized. The record is from RefSeq and is a predicted model, not a curated record. NCBI's taxonomy places the organism in Eukaryota, Metazoa, Arthropoda, Insecta, Hymenoptera, Apidae. The transcript has 5 exons.